UACGAGUGCCUCAAGCGUUAUCCGGAAUCAUUGGGCGUAAAGGAUGUGUAGGUGGUUGUGUUAGUCUUGUGUUAAAUUCUUCGGCUUAACCGGGGGCAUGCACGGGAAACGGCACGACUAGAGGAUGCGAGGGGUCUGCGGAACUCAUAGUGUAGCGGUAAAAUGCGUUGAUAUUAUGGGGAACACCAAAAGCGAAGGCAGCAGACUGGAGCACUCCUGACACUGAAACAUGAAAGCGUGGGACGCGAAUGGG
Molecule: ribosomal RNA, 253 nt
Filed under: uncultured bacterium
Lineage: Bacteria
Description: partial 16S ribosomal RNA
Rfam family: Bacterial small subunit ribosomal RNA
Source: RNAcentral